RNAcentral lists this ribosomal RNA (251 nucleotides) under uncultured bacterium. RNAcentral's name for it is "partial 16S ribosomal RNA". It matches the Rfam family "Bacterial small subunit ribosomal RNA", at positions 524 to 776 of the family's 1533-position model. The record is from RNAcentral.
UACGUAGGGUGCAAGCGUUAAUCGGAAUUACUGGGCGUAAAGCGCGUGUAGGCGGUUGUCCAAGUUGGAUGUGAAAGCCUUGAGCUUAACUCAAGAAAUGCAUUCAGGACUGGAUGACUAGAGGACCGGAGAGGAUAGUGGAAUUCCCAGUGUAGUGGUGAAAUACGUAGAGAUUGGGAAGAACACCAGUGGCGAAGGCGGCUAUCUGGACGGUUUCUGACGCUAAGACGCGAAAGCGUGGGAGCAACAGG